UACGAAGGGGGCUAGCGUUGCUCGGAAUCACUGGGCGUAAAGGGUGCGUAGGCGGGUCUUUAAGUCAGGGGUGAAAUCCUGGAGCUCAACUCCAGAAUUGCCUUUGAGACUGAGUGGCUUGAGUACGGGAGAGGUGAGUGGAAUUCCCAGUGUAGAGGUGAAAUUCGUAGAUAUUGGGAAGAACACCGGUGGCGAAGGCGGCUCACUGGCCCGUAACUGACGCUCAUGCACGACAGCGUGGGGAUCAAACAGG
RNAcentral lists this ribosomal RNA (253 nucleotides) under uncultured bacterium. RNAcentral describes it as "partial 16S ribosomal RNA". It matches the Rfam family "Bacterial small subunit ribosomal RNA", at positions 524 to 776 of the family's 1533-position model. The record is from RNAcentral.